UACGGGGGGGGCAAGCGUUGUUCGGAAUUACUGGGCGUAAAGGGCUCGUAGGCGGCCAACUAAGUCGGACGUGAAAUCCCCAGGCUCAACCUGGGAACUGCGUCGGAUACUGGAUGGCUUGAAUUCGGGAGAGGGAUGCAGAAUUCCAGGUGCAGCGGUGAAAUGCGUAGAUAUCUGGAGGAAUACCGGUGGCGAAGGUGGCAUCCUGGACCGACAUUGACGCUGAUGAGCGAAAGCUAGGGGAGCAAACGGG
RNAcentral lists this ribosomal RNA (253 nucleotides) under uncultured bacterium. Its description in RNAcentral is "partial 16S ribosomal RNA". It matches the Rfam family "Bacterial small subunit ribosomal RNA", at positions 524 to 776 of the family's 1533-position model. The record is from RNAcentral.